Non-coding RNA from Cyanistes caeruleus (blue tit), 16101 nucleotides. NCBI's taxonomy places the organism in Eukaryota, Metazoa, Chordata, Aves, Passeriformes, Paridae. The record is from RefSeq and is a predicted model, not a curated record.
AAUGAACACGAUGGCAGGGGGAGCCUGUCUUCAAUGUGUGAGAAUAUAUCUAAUUAAUGGGGUCAGGGGAAGGGUCCCCUGGGGCAGACAGCCACACCAAGGGUACACAGGGUGCCCUGGGAAGCUGUGCUCCUGGCGCUGGUCCCACGUGGGCCACAGAACCAGAGGGAUGCGUGGUCUGAUCCUGCCUGGCAGUUUCUGUGCAAAAUGGGGCCAAUUUGCUGGGAAGCUUCCCACUCCCAAGGAGGGAAGAGGUGGGCUGCGAGUUUAACAAACAUUUUGGUAUUUGGAAGUCAUUCCCAGAUCUCAUUUAACACACAGACUGCAUUUCCCGUUGCUAACUGGCAGCAAAGAGCUCAUCAACAUUUAAAUAAGAGGCUUGUUAAUGCCAGCGUGAGGCAGGUUUGCAUGCCAAGGCUGGCUAAGGUUUCAUGCCAAGGAUUUUCUAAGAGAGAAUUUCUCUAGGAAACUCCUUUAAAAAGAAGAAUUCACUACUGGUUAAAGAGAGCGAGGGCUUAAUUUGAAGAGGUGCUGAGCUGGUUAAGUCAAAUGGAUGGUGCAAGAGCUGAAAGCCUGUGAAAAUCAGACUCCUGCUUUUAAAUCAAUUAACUGAAGAAUGGCAUGUGGAGUUUUGCAACUGAGUAUGCUUUCUGCAGUGCAAUAACUGAAGGAAAAAAGGCUACACAUAACUUCUUCCUUCAGUGUCACUGACUUUCCCAUUAAUGGUAAAUAUGCUCAGGUGAGACUUUAAAUGCACCUGCUACCUGAGUGUGGAAAUAUGAGACUCUACAAAUGGUCACAUGUGCCUUACUACAUGGAGGAUGUGCAAUCUUUGGCUGUUUUUCUAGAUAUCAAAUGAGUCCUGUAAAUGAAAAAGCAUUUUUACUCUGGAACUUUGUUUUGAGCCUUCCAUAUGGAGACAAAGUCAUCUCAGAGCAACUGGAGAGGAAGGGUGGCAGUUUUGGCAGAGCUAGAGGGUCCUGCGCUGUAUGUCUCUAUAGGAUGUUUUAUUGCCUUUCCUUGUUCCGUCACAGAACAGGAGUAAUGUCCGUGGUGUCAGAAUAUGCACAUGGUAAUUGGCUUUUGCUGUAAUUAAAUGCCUCGGUGCCAGCGUUUAAUCAGCCGCCAAAGCCGUUUAUUGCCUCAUAUACGGCUGCACCACACGCAUUACCCCUUAAUUAGUUGCUGAAAUAGUGAUGAUUUAGCAGCGUCUUUAUGUUUAUACUUUAAGACAGCAGAUUCAGUCCAACACCAACAAUAUGGCAAGAUAAAAAAGCAGACCAUUCUGCUAUGCAAUGAUUUUGAGCUUAUUUAUUUUUCCUUACCUCAUGGAAAACAGUGUCAUAAGUAACUCCUGGUGACACCGCACUGGAGGUGGUUGGCACUUGGAAAGCAGUUGCUAAGUCUCUGCUCUGCUUAAGGCUGACCUUGGGUAUUUUAAGUGGAUUCAGUAUCCAUAAAACAUUGUUCCCAAAAAUUCUCAGCAGCAAAAGAAGUGUAAGCUUCACCCACGUUGACACACCGUUACCAGGACUGCCAGGUGGGGCAGACCUGAGGCAGAGAGCUCCCAGUCUUCUCACAGGAGCUCCCUGAGGAAAGGAACUCCUUGGUGUAGCUGGAGUAGUGGCACUUUGUUUUGCACCACCCUGGCAGGCUGUGACACUGACAGUGGCAUCAGUUCUCCUGACAGCCCCACCCAAACUCCUCUUCCCCCUUUUCCAGGCUUGUUUUUGCAGCCAUGGUGCUGCUGUGUGGUGCAGCCACUUGCCACUUUUGGAGUAAUGGAGCAGUGAAAGGGCCCACUCACUUGUCCAUUCAUCUUUUCCAGUUUUAGUUGUCUGAAAGGAAGAGGUCUGGUCUGAUCUUUCAGAGUCCCUUGAGGGAGGGCAUGAGGGAGAUAACUCCAGAAAGCAGUUCACCCUGCCAAAGCUAUGCUGGAGGAACGGCCCUUUGGAAAUGUCUCUCUCUCACAGAGGGAGCCCUGCGCUAUCUUGCAUUGGGCUCUUCCCUUCCUAACUAUUACUCCAAACCCUUCCCAGAACACCAGUACUGCUAAGACCAGCAUUGGGGACAGAUUUAUCAGCCUUCUAGGUUUCUUUUCUGCUUUGAAAACCUCUGAGGAAGCUCAGGAAGCCUCUGAAAUCUUCUCCAAAUUGACUAGAAAGCAAAACAAAACUCCUUUUUUGACACAGAAGUCAUACAGGAGAUUAGCCUAGAUAAACAUCAAGAUGAACAUCCCAGGCUCACCUUUUUUCAAAGCCAGGUGGUUAAAUCACCAGUAGCUACAGCUGGAGACCGCCAUUGCACCAGAACACAGGGAGUUAUGUUCAUCUCACCAGACACAUCACCAACAGAGCCAGUCACCUCUGCCUCCAUCCCUCAGCCCCAGGACAGCCACCACUGGCACCUGGAUUUUAGAUAGACUUCACUCCCAAAGCUUUCAUUGUCUUCAAAGAAUUCUGGUAGCCUUUGAUUGCAAGAAAAGCAGUGCCAAACUAAGGAAUUAAUAGCUCCCCCACCCUUGGCCCUUGCCUCUGGCCCCUGGCCUGCUAAUGCAUUUUGAUUUGCGUGUGGACAACGUAUCCCUGGAACUUUUCCAUCGUAACAAGUUUAGGAAAAAGUAGCUUGUGCUAUAAAGGAAGUAAUAAUAUCAAGUUUGGAAAACUAUAUAGCAGUUUGAAUAGAGUUGAAAGCCCACACCAUCACACUCCCUUUACUGCCAAGACAAAGCCUGUCAGACUCACGUGUCCUGUAGGAACAAGCUGCAGUUUGUCCUUUCCUGAGGGAGAACACAGGCCCUUCCUAAAGUCCCCUGGGGAAGGAGAGGAGGAGCUGGGAGCAAGGCUGCUGCCUGCACCUCCUUCCACAGCUAGCAAAGCAUCCCCUGACAAUACAUAACCUACUAAAGAAGUCCUUCAUUUUCUCUGGUGGUGGGAAAGUAAGGAUGGUAUUUAAUUUACAGACAAGAAUAUUUGGUCUGGGCAGUAGGAGAGACUGUCCAAGGGUGAAGACAACACUGCUAUAGAGAGGACUGGGAGGGGAGGUUGUGGGAUUUCCAUAUGCGGAUGUCUUCAAGGUCACACUAAAGUUUUCUUGGGAAUGCCAUGGAGGGAAUGGGUUUAGCUGUUUUGUGUGGCUUGGGAUCUUUCUAUAACUCAAAAAUUGUUUUAGGAUAACCACAUCUGCUGAUAGGGAGAACAGUAUUAAUCUCAUUUAACCCUUAAAGGCACGAAACAAACCUGUCCCAGAUGCUUAUCUAAAGAAAAGAUGACAUCACUUCUCCAUUGACAGGAGGGACAAAAAAAGCUGUCUUCUAGGGUGCUGCUAAGUUCAUGGAAAUGAAUCCCACCUUGAAGACAAUCUGUGCAGCACUGUGCAGGAGAUUUCUGAGAGAAAAGGGUUUUUAUAGAAAGGUCCAAGGAUAGAAAGGGUAGAAAAACAGAGGCUAUAAGCAGGGUGCAGAUAUCUAGCAUACAGUACUUGUGGAAAAGCUUACUGCGAUACACUGGACUCCCCACCACAUGAAGCAUUUCUGUCAGCAGUGUUCAGUGCCGCACCAGGUUCUCUGGCAGGAGAGGUGGAGGUCAGGCUGUGUGGCAACCAGUGACCAGAUUUUUAAAGCAGAUGGGAACAAUCCUGAUUAUUUACCGCAAUGAUAGCCUAGAAACAAGUUUCUAGAAGAGACAGGCUUUGCUAACCACACUUCUUUCUACUCUCCCCAUAACAGUUUGAAUAAUGUUUCUCCAUUCAGCUGCAGAGCAAGGUGUCUGGCUCUCCUGUCACCCCUUCACAACACAAAUUUGAGAACAUUUGUGGACACCUUCCCAUACAGCCCAACUGUGCAGAUUACUGCAUGGGUUAGGAAUGGAGUGCUCUCCACUGCAAAGGCACACAUUUUUAGGAACAGUGCAAAAUUCAUCAAGAGAUGGUCAGUGUGAUGGGGAACAGCUUUUCUUGGGACACUUUUACACCUUUACUUCACCCAACAGUGAAACAGACUCUUGAAUUAAGUAUGCUCGGGAGCCACACAAUGAAAUUUCGAACCUAAAAGAAAAAAAGUUGAAGGAUAUGAAGCGUAAUUGCAGGUGGAGGCUGGGAGAAAGUAAAUACCAUUCAACUUGAAAAAAUAAUUUCACACGCUAGCAAACAAAAAUGAAAUUUAUAAGAAGUUUAUUGGAUUGGUAAAAUGUAAUAAAAAAGCAUUUGUGAUACUUCUUCUGCAAAGAAAAAAGGCAUCUGGCGAUUUUGCAUAUUUAUUUUCCCUUACAAAACAUUUGAAAAGCAUAACUGAUAAAAAGGAUAACAACUGAAAGAGCAGAGCAAAGAGGAAAAUACAUCUCAAUAUAAUUGGAUAAUGCAUAAUAAAAAUACAGAAAACACAUGCUUAAAACAGCUUUCAUUCUCUUAUUGUAAAAAGUUAUUUUAUGUGUUGAAUAAAAAAUAUAUGCCGGUUGCUCUGAAAAUUGCAGUUUAAAAGAGGUAACUAGCUGAGAACAAAAUAUAUAUAUCUAUAUAUAUUUAUAAAUAUAGAAAACGUGUAUAUGCUGCAUCUGUCCUCAGAACAAAUUGGAAUAAAUGAUUUUCAAUUCAUGCACACAAGUUACCAGAGAAAAAACUUCAUUUAUUGCCUAGCAGAUUGAUCCUGUAAGGUGCUGAUUGCAUUUCCUGAGUGCCCUCAAAGCCCUGUGGGAGUAGUCAGUGAGGGAGACAAGUGGCCUGAUGGGUUCAGUGACAAGGGAGGCUACUCAGCAGCUCACAGGAGGUGCACUCAGCAAUUCACAGGAAUCAGAAAAAUUCCAAUGGCAGCAGGAUUAGGCCCCCCACAGGCUUGGGUAGUGCUUUUGCUCAGCAAGGAGUAAAAAUCUGGUACCCCCAAGCUCUGACAAACAGGAGACCAGUCCUAAAAGCUCAAGUAAUGUUACUUCAUUAGGAUCUGAGGGUAUAGAGUGUGCAGCAGAAGCAUUCCUCACACAGGAAGUGCUUCCUUGUGCCCCCCUGCCCAGAUCCCUAGGCUAGUGAUUCACAUUUAAAAGGAAGAUGCUUCCCAUACCACUGAGAGCCUCUGUGGGCUGACACUGGACAAGGAGGAGAGUGGCCAGUCACGCUCCCUCCCAACUGCAGCAAAGGCAACAACGCAAAACCUUCUCCAUCUCAAGGGCUAAACCAACAACCACCACAAAGCUGAAACACCACCUCAAACCACUGUGAAUUACUGCACAUCCAGGACAGAUCAUCCCCAGUGAACCCUCGAGCAGACAGCUCUACAACUGGCAGGGGUAGGCCAAAGCAUAGCAGCUACAUAGGACACAUACAUUCCUGGGGGCACUUCCUCCUUGCAGUCUGAAAGAGCUGAAUCAUUCUCCCAGCCUUUAGGGGGUUCUCCAUGGGGCAUGUAGCCAAGAAGAAACUUUCUGGAAUGACCUAUGUGUGGUUCAGAUGCCCUUGUAUCAGCCCACAGGUAAAGCCAGUGUGAGAGAUUGGGCUCUGAAAACAUGUUGUUUUGUUCUGAAAACUGACUGCAGAAUUAGUACUCGGGGUCUCUCAUUUGACUAACUAGAGGGAAGGCACUGGAGGCUGCUCUCCAGUCUCUCUGACUGUCCAAAGCACAGGCUGUGGCAUGGGAAAGUACAGGACCAUUAAGGAAGCUGAUGUCUCACCAAGGCAGAUCCUUUCUAGCAAGACUGAAAGAAAGUCCAGGCAUUACUUGGCUCUACCCUUACCUCUACCAAUACUCAGUUCUCACUCUCCAAAGAGACAGCAGAGGAGGUCACAAUGGUACAGUUCAAAGCAUCAAAACAUCAAGUCUCUCCCUUUACUGCAUUUCCAAUACACCUUGCAUUUCCUGUCCAAUCACAGCAGACAAAAGUUUCCUAUAACAUUAUUUUGAGGGUUGAAAAUGAGAGCAUAUCAGCCUUUGUAAUACAGUAGCACCAAUCAAACUUUGGUUCACCUUCAGAUUUUCUCCUCUAGCAAUAUAUAAAAAAUGAGUGAUGGAGAUUUUUUAUAAGAGACAAUAUUAAGGGAAUAAAUUCUUCAGAUAUGAAUGACUCUGGAGUUCUGAUCAGGAAGAGAUGUUUGAGGAAAUACACCGAAGUAUACCUCUGCUACAGAACAGCUGUCCACCAGACAACAGGGUGUGUAAAGCAAGACAAGCUGUACUGAUGGGAUAAGCAAUUGCUUUGCUUAUCCCCAUGGAGAACAAAUGCUCAGCAUUAGCCUCUUUCUUCUCCAUCACCCUCCUAGUUCCCAUCCCUGCUCAGCACUAGGACUGUUUCUCUGCUGCCCAUAAAGGAGCACAGCAGGUCUCUGAAAAGGCACAGAGUGAAGAAAGUGGAAUACACUUUUUGUAAAGGCAGCUCUGUCAAUAGCCUACUUGUUACCUUGCUGGUUGUUCUGUUGAGGUGCUUUUCAGCAGCUUAGCUACUUAGGCUAUUAGAAAUACUACUCUUUAGGUGGAUAAAACAAAGAACUAGAUCAGGCUUGGGGGACAAGGCACAAAAUGUCCAUUUGCCAAACUGAAAUGGGUUUGCAGCCCACAUAAAGCAGUUAGUAAAGCACUGGCAGAUGCAAAAAAAAUGCCCCAGUUUGGAUUUUCAAUGGGUACCAUCUCAACACAGUUGAAACACAAACUACAACCUCCGGCUGUGCAUUUCAGUGCAAACUGCUCUUAUCUCAUGCAGUCCUGAAUGAAACAUUAGCACAAAGGCAGCCUAAUUGGAACAGGAUCUUCUCCUCCUUCCCUGCAAAUCCUCGUCAUCCACACAUUGCCAUAGUUCAUGGCAGAGAGAAAACGGCUGAUUCUGGCAAAAUACUCAUACUAGGAAGGCAGGAUCAAGCCCUAGGCUGGACACAGACUCACCAUGGGGAGCAGCACUGGCUGUGGAGAGGAUAAGGUUGACCUUGCUCCCUUAGCAGGCCUUCAUCACUCCCAUGCUGCAGCAGUGUGGAAAGCUGGAGCAAAUGUUUGCAGAGAUGCUGGGCUCUGGUUUAGUUUAGGGAACAGAGGGUGUCAUUUUUCUCCUUUUUACCACCCAGGAAAAUUAUAAAAGCAACAAGAAACGACACUGAAUGGCCAUCUCCCCUUUAGUUUUGAAAACCUCUAUAUCAGACUGGAAAAUAUUCUGAUUGCAUUUUCUGGUUCCAAACUCUAGGUGACCUCUCCUAGACAGAGCUCCUAACUGUUUUCAUUCAGUGCCCAAACCAAAGGGCUCCAUGCCCUAUCGGGACCAGGGCAAGACUACAACUCAACAAAUGAAAAGUAAAAAUAAUGAUACCAUGAAAAAGCACAUAGUCUUGAUUACCAAAAAUGCUGAAUAAGCAAAGCUACAAUGGAACAAAACCAGCAGGAGACAUAGGAACAGCCAUUAAAAUAAAAAAACAGAGCAAUUCUGCCCUUUAUUUCCUUGCCACGUUUAUUAUUUUCACCUCUCUUUUCUCACAGAUGAAGUGAGGCAGGCCAGUUCUUUUUCCUUUUCAAGCCGGCUUUGCUCUCUGGGCUGUCACGCUGCUGGCACAGCCCUGCGGAGACAGGACUUCCCGCACUUCAGGGGAAUGCUGAACUGGGGCUAUUUUUUAAACAUCAAACUAUUCCUGUUCACUGUACACUCUGCUUCCAAAAAUAAAACAAGCAUCCGAGUCUUUAAACAAGUAGACGGACCCUUUAAAGUCUCAUAACAAUGUUUUAAACCUGGGGUGGGAGGGAUGGGAACGGGAAUACAUUUUCCUACUAAUUGGAAAUAAUGAAACCAAUGUUUGUGGAUAUGAAAUGCUGGGUAAUAACAAAUCAGAGGUCUGUUGCUGAGCCCGUUCUGCCAGCCAGCCUUUGUGAGAAAAAGACAGCAAGAAAGGGUUUUCUCUUUGCAUUGAUGAACUUAAAAUGAAAGCAAGGGCAAUACAUGGGAAAGAAAAAGGUAGACAGGUACAGGGCAUGGAAAUUAUUUGCCUGGAGCAACCACAGAAGUAGGCAGAAAAAUGGCAAAAAUAAUGUCUCCUUUUUUCCUUAGCCCUGGUUCCUAAAACUAGUUUGGGAAUGAACUGGGGGAAGGGGAGGAAGGAGCAGCAAUUUGAACACAGCAGAUGCUCCAGUUAAACCAUAUCUUCUCAGAGAGGAACUGAGGGUGGGGGCAGGGGAGAUGGCUAUUAUUAAUGUCCUUCCGUAUAUAGCAAAGCAGACAUCCUGCAUAAUGGCAACACAAUACAUCAAUAAUAGCCCAAGAAUAGCUUCCUACCGGUUUUUUCCCCCUGACAGUUAGAAACAUAAAGAGAAAAAUCAAGCUGCUGAGAUAAAUAGCUGAGUCUCCACCCCCACCUCAAAUUGCCUUGGCAUAUUUUAAGAGAUAAAUGGUUCUAUGAGAAAUUUAAAUAGCUUUCUCUUUUCUUUUUUGGCAGCUGCAGGAACUGGGUCAGGUGUAGAAAUUAUUAAUUUAGAAGCCUGAAAAACCCAUGUUUGAAACUAAGUUUUUUUUUUUUUUUUUUCCUUUAAAGCAUCAACUUUCUUAGAAGCAGAGUUACAAAAAAUAAAAAAUAAUUGAGGGGCAUUUUUUUAAGCAGAAGUCAGGUUAAAAAUAAUGAAAUAACAGUCCAAGCUAUAGAAAAGGGACAAUUUGGGUAACAGUCUAAUGGACAUUAAAAGUAUCUGUAGUAUAUUGUUAAUGGUUUUUUUUGCAGAGUACAGUAUUUGCCUAAUGGCUUUCAUUCCUCUUGAUCAAACAUAGCACUGGAGUCUGCCUUGAGGAAGAGGUCUGGGGGACACCAUUCUGUAGCUUUACACAAAGUUUAGAGCAUGUUUCCAAAGAGACAAGAGAUUACUCCCAAAGUGACCAGCACCAAACACUCCCACAAGCAGCCCAUUAUUAUUCUGCAGGUCUCAGAACUGACACCUCAGGGAGCUCAUCUGCUUGAGGCUGUGCUCGCUGGUGAACCUGGUACUGAACCAUGUGUAAAUCACUGCCUUUCCCCUCCCACUCAAGUUACUCUAGCUUUCCACAUUGAUACCAGGAUUUGUAACACAGCUUCUCUGCACGAUGCCAAAAGCCACCUCCCUUCUCAUGCCAUAUGGGGAAGGAUCUCUUUGCAACCAUAAAACCUUGAAUCUUACAGAGAAAAAAGGUCAAAUCCUGUAGGAAUAGCUCUGAGCAAAGAAAUGCUGAUGAAAUAUCUCACAGGAGAGUACACUAGUUAAGACCUGUAAAAGGUUCAAAUUUCCAGUGCUAUAAAGAACUCUGAGGUCUUGAAAGAUACCCAGUUGGCAGGCAGCCCACUUCCUCUGCUGCAUGGCUGGUAAAAUCCUCCUGCUCAUCGUGCUCUGCUCUGUGUCCCAAGUCAGGCGGAUACCUGAGAGGGAGGAGGACUCCCUCGUUCAUACUCACUGCACCUCGCAGGGCUCAUGGCUCGUGCUCUCCUUCCCUUAGUGACCAAUCAAAAAUUUAAAAAGGUGACAAAGAGCCAGAUGUAAAUAGAACUUCAGUGCCUAGAAAGUCAGAGCACAGAUAGGAUCAGAAGACAGACUGUAAUUACAGGCCCUGCUACUUAUUACAUAGGCCAGUUGGGCUACAUGAGCCUUUGGUGGAAACUUCCUGUGCAAUUAAUAAAGGAGAAACAGAAUACUUUUGCAAUCACUUUUCUAGCUUUCGCUGUGGGGGUCCAAUCCUGCCAUCCUGGAUUAGCUCUAAUCAUAGACAAUCUUUCUCUGCAUAAAAUGAAGGCAUCUGUUCUGUAAGACUAAGAAAAUAAAAGAAAAACGAAAAAAGGACAAAACCCUCAUUGCAAACCUACACCAUGCAAUCAAGAAGGAAAGGAAACUGAUCCUGAUCCCCCCCAGAUCGUAAUCUGACAAUGUUUUCAAGGCAUCUGGCAAAAAGGAAGAAGAAAGAAGAAUGCUAUGAAAUAUUUAAAAUCCUACUUCUGUCAAGAAUACAUGAGAGAAGAAAGGUGAGUUUGAAAGGGCUGCAUUAUUUGUAAAGUAAAACCUGAAAGCACCACCUUUUGCAUAGAGGCAUGAGGUGCCCUUGGCCUGAGCCAGAGCGGUCCUGAGAACAAAUACCAGGCACUGAUUCAGCAGGGACUGGUGUGACAGUCCAGGCUGGGUGCAGGAGGGACCCAAGUGCUGUCCUGCAACACCCUGGGAUGUACCACGGGAUGUGGAGGCUAAGGACAUGUGUUGCUAUUACAGCAAAACAGCUGUGCCUUUACAGCCAGCAACUGAUCCUCCUCAGCCAAAGCUUGAAUCAGAUUUUCAAGAGCAUGAGAAAUGGAGCAUCCCCAGGGGAGGAUUUCUCCUAAAGGCACUUUUUUUACUGCUGAGAUUCUCACCAAAGAGACUUCCAAGGAAGGGGAGACUGCCCUGUGAGAUCUGAGAUGCAUCAAAUGACACUUUGCUUUGCUCUUGCACCCAAGAUAUUUUCCAAUCUCAGAACCCCACUGGUAUAGAGCACCUUUGCAGAAAGAUCUCAAAGUGGGCCUGACCACUGGACUGAUCCCAACCCCAUCUCAAGAAGCAGGCACAGAAAAGGGCUGGAUGUGCCCAGCUGUCAUAAGGAGGAAGCCCCCAAGCAGAUAUUCAGGAGUUCCAAUGCUCAGCUGAGCCUUUUUCUUGGUCACAGCCACGUGCCUGCUGUACAGUCUCAGUAGAAACCAUAACAGAUUUCAGGACUGGCACUGGGCAUACAAAUGGGACCAAAAUGAUCCUGAAAUGCUGAAACAAAAGACACUUUGGAACAAAACUGGCACAGCCACAAUCCCCACAAUGCUUGUGUAAGAUAGAAAGAAAGAAUCCCUAGAAUGUAUUUAUCAAAAGCUAUUUUAUGCAGAUUUUUCCUUUUGAAUAUUUAAAACAUGGUGAAUAUUAAACUUCAGAGAUUCUUAAUAUGUUCCAAAGCCCCACGGACCUUUGAAAUGCUAGCUCAUCAAUAUGCAACAUCUAAUCUUGUCAGGAAAAGAAAAAGAGGGGGAAAAAGAAAAGCUAUUCAUCCUCUGCACACAGAGGUUACAGUGAGAAUCCCAAGGAAAAUAAAAAAAACAACCAACUUCCAGCAUCUUAUGCAAUAGGUUAAAUUUACUCUGGUUGGGAAAGUUUCACUUUCUGCAAGAGAGAAAGUGCCUGUACGUGCACAGCCAUUGGAAGCUUCUUCUGAAGUGUGAGGCUGAAACUGUGUAGCUGGAUUACAGUAAGUAGUUUAUUAAAAAAAACAAGGCUUGUGGCUUUGCAUCCUGUUCCAGUCCAAUGCAGUCUCAGGAUCCCCUCUCCAAAGGCCAGCAGACAGUGCGCCACCUAAAAAUCCAUUCUAGUCCAAAAUGCUGUGGUUGAAAUGGUUUUGCUUGUUUAUAAAGUUUAGUGUUUCGUAUCGCUUGCAUCUGACCUUCAGCAGAAAGAAAAGCUCAGUUAAAUUGUGCAAAUAUGUACCAAAUGGGAGCAAGGGAAGGCAGCCAAAAAUGCUGCAUGAGCUUUUGCAGGGCUGCAGCCUUUUAGGAGCACCAGUUAGAUGAACUGGAUGAGAGGCCAAAUUGAUUUAGGCUCCAGGCAGGAGCUUAAAACACCAUGACAUCCAAAUUCACAAAGAAAAUGUUCUGUUACUGCAACCCCAAAUUUCCUGCACAUGAAAACACUGUUUUCUUUCAUCUUUAGGAGAUGCUAGUUCUGUAAUCCGACAUUUAAAAAUGAACAAACAAACAGGAGUCAGCUGACAAAGGAUUCUUGCUGGUGAAUGGAAGUAGGUCACUCUGAGUAUUUAGCCUUUACAGUCUGGCUUAAUAUUAGUGUUGUACACAGAGCAGUAACCAAACUGCACUGGAGACAGGGAAAGACUCUAAUUUUGUCUUUUCUGUGAAAAUUAGCAUUAAUGUUCUGCAUUAAUGUGCAAUGCCUCCCCAGCAGCCGAUAUCUGGUUAAUUAAAAGAAAAACCACAACCACAAAGCAAACCACACACUAAAUUAAACAACAACAACAAAAAACCCUUACUGGUCAGCCUGCAUUUAAAGACAUCUCAGUAUGAGUAAUUGGGGAGAGAGGAAUUUUCCUGAAGGAACAUAAAAGAAAAUGAAAGCUUUACAUACAACACCAAAUAAAAUCUUCUGUCUCUCACGAAUGCAAAUUCUGGCUGCCCUUUUAUACAAACAUAUUAAAAGAAUAUAACUGGAGGAAAAAAUAAAGAGGAAAAGCUAAUAAAAUCAUUUUUGAGGAAAAAAAAUAUUUAAAAAACAAACUAUCCUUCAAAUAUAUUUCUUCAUGGUAAAUCCCUGCAAUCAUGUGGUUCUAAAUUACAUGGUUAAAUAUGACUGAAAAAGUAAGGCACAAUUUCAUAAUCAUUUAAAAAGCAAUAAUUAUAACAAUUUUCUUUGAUAUCCAUAUGGCAGGCCACUGAUACUAAGGACACACAAAACUGCUUGAUUAAAGAUCUGAAGAAGUUUUUCCAACUACUAGCUAAGGCUCACAAUACCUCGGUGAAGUUAUGAAGCCGUUCCUGCCCUCCUUCCACAACAAACCCUCAGUUACCAUUGCUGGUGUUUUCUCGUGGGAAUUUCACCACCAUGGGAUGGUUCAACACCUCCUCUCCAACAGUCCCAGCUUGCAGUACUGAACCUGUGUGAGGUGUUGUCCACCCAGGCUGCUGAACAAACAGCAAAUCAACACUGUGCCCCAACUGCAGGAACCAGACACCAACAGACACCAGUCAGCAACUCAAACCCUUUUGGAGCCACUCAGCACAAGCACCAUGUGUCUAUCCUUGACACAGGAUUUCUCUCAAGAACCUUCUCUUGGGUCCUGUUAUCCCUUGCCUUCCAGACUUUCUCAAAAUCAAAAGGAACCAGCAUUUAUCAAUACUGAUAAAUGCUGAUAAAACCUGACUAAGCCAGGCUUGAGUUAACCACAGCCAGGCAGCAGCCAUAACAGGUCCAAAGAGAUUUCAGACAGACUUGUCAUGUGUUCUCUUUAACAACCACCAUUUCUUUAAAGACACUUUUUUCUCAUUCUUCUCAGGCACAUUUUGCUGAUAGGCAGAAAAUCAACUUAAGGCCUGUGUUUUGUGAAAGUCUCGCUCCUGCUAUCAGGAUGAACACGGUUAUGUAGAGUGACAAACACUUCGGUACUCCCACACCUCUAUGAUUAAGUCAUUACCCAAGUGUUUUGCAGCCAUGAUAAAAAUCUAAGAAUUAAAAUAUUAACACCCCUCCCAAAACCAAAAUUAAAGGCUUGUUAUCUGAUAGGCUAAAGAAUUGAUGUGGCUUUCUGUUUUUAAAAGCAAUGUUCAGUGAAUAAAGUAAGUGACAAUAAAACCAUCACAUUCACAAAAUGCUAGUGUUAGCCUUGGGGAUAUGCUUAAGGAUUGGGCUGUAACCAAGGCAACCCAGUCUCCUGGAGAAAGUUUAAGUAGACAGUUUUAAAGCCAUUGCUCAAAGAUACAGUAAAUCUGGCUGUAGGGCUACUUGUGACAUAUGGAAGGUGCCACAGCCACCCAACACAAAGCACUCACCUUGUAACAACUCAGCCUCCUGUCAUCUAAAUGCUACAUUUGAUCAGCUGUGGUAUUUUCCUACAGUUGGCAUAAGGGUGACACAGGAGCCAUUUCCUGUGCUCUGGGUAAUUUGAUAGAAAUUUGACUGUGCCCACAUCCUACCCAGAUCAAACCUGUAUGAUCAGGGGAUAAAGAACCAGUCUGGUAUUAAUGGCUUAUGUCACACCAUGCAAUGGUUUUAAGUCCGUGCUUAAACAAACCCCAGGGACUUAAAUAUUUUGCUAAAUUAGAACCUGAUCCUGGGCCCUGUCUGGCCACACAAAUCAUGGGAUCAGGCCCUACUUGCCAAAAAAUGCUAGACAAAGACAAAGCAGCAUAAGCAGAAACUGCAGACUUGAACAGAAAUGUUUGUGUGAUCUUCCAACUCUUUCUGAAAGGAACAGUUUGGACGUUACCACAGCCAGAUGAUGUGAAUUUUUGUCAUGGCUAAGAAGGUCCAACUUUGAAAAACCAAGGUCUCUUUGGCAAAAAGACUCCUUCUUUGGAAGAGAUAAACAUGAUAUAUUAUAAAUAUGUGAUAAAUAUUGUGAUGAAGCCAUAUCCCAGUGGUUCUUAAUUGCAGUGCAAUUGAGAUAAAUCCCACCAGCAUUUCCUAAUUAAAUCCUGAAGCAUCAGCAGAGAGAUUACCAUAUACAUGUGGAUGAUGAGAGCCUCUGUGAUGUAUAUACAACAUCUUUCAAAUAUAUUUAUAGCUAUUUUGAAAAAUAAAGCCCCACAGAAUAAAGACGAGGCUUUUGGACACUCACUCCUUCCAGGCAGAUGGCUUUGGUGUCUAGGGGUGAAAAAAACCCCAUCACAGUACCUUUGCACAGAUGUGUCAGGUCUAGAAACCAGUCACAGCACCUCAAACAUCAAUACUGUUCAAUCUUUGUCAAUCCUAUUUCAUCCAUAAAGUAUUUAAUACUUCAAAAGUUUGGCUCUCACCUCCCUGCAUGCCAGCCCAACUCACCACAGCACUCUCAUAACAGAGAGGAUUCAGAGCUGGAUCUCCUGGCCACAUGCAUUGAAAUGAGCUGGAAUCCCAGGCCUACAUACCAGCAAACUUUUCUGGAAAGAGAAAAUAGAGCACCAGAAAUCAGUAGUUUGGGCUAGUCUGUGAUUAGUUUAAUCCCCAUAAUGUCUCUGGGAAACUGCAAAGAAGCUCUCUCAUGCAGAGGGCAGAAAACAAGGAGUGAUAUGACUCACUCCAGUUCAGCCUGUGGCAGGGCUGUAAAAAGCCCAAAGGCUCUGAACUUGGGUCCUCUCCUUAGUCUAGGCCACAUUCUGUGCUGGAAGGCACAGCUGCUUCAAAGGUUGCCAUCAAUUGCCCCAGUGUUAUUCAGAGAGUCUCAUCAGUCACUUGAUUUAACACUCACAAGAGUAAGGAAGGCCAGAGCUACAUUUUCUGCCUGCUGAACGGCUCAUUCUGCACCCCAGUGCAUCGCAUUAUCACCUGUGCUUGUAUCCCAGCACUGACCUCCCUUGUUUUUGUAGGGUUAGUUCAAACUAGAUUUGCUCAGUAUUUGCAAGGUUUUUGGACUGGUGGUGGCACAGACUGCUUGUCAAGAAACGAGCUCAGAAGGACCUUACAUGCCACGGUUCAGGGAGCAGGAGCCCAGGUGGAACCUGGUGGGAGCCAAGGUGCCAAAAAAUCUGUUUAUGUCUGAGGCAGCAACAUUCUUGCUGGCCAGGGUAGAAAUCCAGUAUAAAAAGUCAAACUGCUUCAGCACAGCCUCUAUGGUGGUGAAGGAAAACUCUUCUGCUCAAUGAUGCCACCCUUCUACAAAGACGGAUUCAUUUCAAGCUGUUAAUUUUGGGAAACUUCCCUGACUGGCGAAGUUUGCCAACAUAUAAACCAUGUAAGGAAUGGAGGUUUCAGACUGGUAUUUCUGCAUUUGAAUUUACCACAGACAGCUGAAGCUACUAUCACAGUGCUCUUCCAGAAAGGUUAGUGCUAAAGUGAAAGGAAGUGCACCAUUUGCAGGAGCUGCAGUAUCACAUCACAAUUUUUCCUUUGUUUCCUAUCAGUUCAGCUCAUCUAACUUUUCAGCAUUAGUGGAUGUAAUUAUUCUCUGUAACAGAAACCUGAUACAAAAAGGAAAUCACCACAUUCUUAUUGUUUUUCAGUGGGAUGCAUGAAUAAAAAUCUUAUAACUUACUCUUGAAAAGUGCCAGUUUGUCACUUAUAUGGUCAAUCAGACUGCAACUAUUUCAAUUCUGCUUCUUAAUUUAAGUGCAAAGAAAGGUAUUUUCCUUGAUUACAUCUGCAAAUAAGAUAUUAAUGUCAAUUCAGUGAUAUGAAAAUUACUCCCUCACUAUGUAAUUUGCACCUUAGUUAUUACGGGUUUCAUGAACAAGACUAUUAUAGCUGCUCAGAAUGCCAUAGAUUUUAAAGUUUUUGAUUUGUUUUUAAUUAACCAAACUAAAAAAAAAUAAAACAAAAAACCCAUACCCACAUUCAUGUGAAAAAAAAUUAUUUCCUAUGCCCAGGUUUUAUUUACCUUGGCCUGUAUAUUAAUUCUGGACUGAAGAUGAAAAUGCUAUUGCUGGCCCAGCACUCUACUGCCAUGAAUUUCACCAGAGGCAAGUUAUAAGUGGCUGGGAUGAAAA